Molecule: ribosomal RNA, 250 nt
Filed under: uncultured bacterium
Lineage: Bacteria
Description: partial 16S ribosomal RNA
Rfam family: Bacterial small subunit ribosomal RNA
Source: RNAcentral
UACGUACUGUGCGAACGUUAUUCGGAAUCACUGGGCUUAAAGGGUGCGUAGGCGGCGAACUAAGUAGGGUGUGAAAUCCCAUGGCUCAACCAUGGAACUGCGCUCUAAACUGGUUUGCUUGAGUGAGAUAGGGGUAUGCGGAACUUCAAGUGGAGCGGUGAAAUGUGUAGAUAUUUGAAGGAACACCGGUGGCGAAAGCGGCAUACUAGGUCUUAACUGACGCUGAGGCACGAAAGCUAGGGUAGCGAAC